RNAcentral lists this ribosomal RNA (253 nucleotides) under uncultured bacterium. RNAcentral's name for it is "partial 16S ribosomal RNA". It matches the Rfam family "Bacterial small subunit ribosomal RNA", at positions 524 to 776 of the family's 1533-position model. The record is from RNAcentral.
UACGAAGGGUGCAAACGUUGCUCGGAAUUAUUGGGCGUAAAGAGCGUGUAGGCGGCCAGGUAGGUCUGCUGUGAAAACUCGAGGCUCAACCUCGAGACGUCGGCGGAAACCAUCUGGCUAGAGUCCGGAAGAGGAGAGUGGAAUUCCUGGUGUAGCGGUGAAAUGCGCAGAUAUCAGGAAGAACACCCGUGGCGAAGGCGGCUCUCUGGGACGGUACUGACGCUGAGACGCGAAAGCGUGGGGAGCGAACAGG